Molecule: ribosomal RNA, 253 nt
Filed under: uncultured bacterium
Lineage: Bacteria
Description: partial 16S ribosomal RNA
Rfam family: Bacterial small subunit ribosomal RNA
Source: RNAcentral
UACAGAGGGCCCGAGCGUUGUUCGGAUUCACUGGGCGUAAAGGGUGCGUAGGCGGCGGGGCAAGUCUGAUGUGAAAUCCCGGGGCUCAACCUCGGAACUGCAUUGGAUACUGCCUUGCUCGAGUACUGGAGAGGGAACUGGAAUUUACGGUGUAGCAGUGAAAUGCGUAGAGAUCGGAAGGAAGGCCAGUGGCGAAGGCGAGUUCCUGGACAGUUACUGACGCUGAGGCACGAAGGCCAGGGGAGCAAACGGG